UUAUAUUUUAAUGUUAAAUGCAUAAAAAUUUUUGAUAUUUUUAGUGAUAGAAAAUUAAACUAUCAAAUAUAAUC
RNAcentral lists this transfer RNA (74 nucleotides) under Psyttalia concolor. RNAcentral describes it as "tRNA-Gln". Lineage: Eukaryota; Metazoa; Arthropoda; Insecta; Hymenoptera; Braconidae. The record is from RNAcentral.